CGUGAGUGAAGAAGGCCUUCGGGUCGUAAAGCUCUGUCAAGUGGGAAAAAAUGUCCCGGGUCAAUAGCCUGGGAAAUUGAUGGUACCACUGGAGGAAGCACCGGCUAACUCCGUGCCAGCAGCCGCGGUAAUACGGAGGGUGCAAGCGUUGUUCGGAUUUACUGGGCGUAAAGAGCGUGUAGGCGGUUUGAAAAGUCAGAUGUGAAAGCCCUGGGCUUAACCCGGGAAGUGCAUUUGAAACUUUCUUACUUGAGUAUGGGAGAGGAGAGUGGAAUUCCCAGUGUAGAGGUGAAAUUCGUAGAUAUUGGGAGGAACACCCGUGGCGAAGGCGACUCUCUGGACCAAUACUGACGCUGAGACGCGAAAGCGUGGGGAGCAAACAGGAUUAGAUACCCUGGUAGUCCACGCUGUAAACGAUGAGAACUAGGUGUAGCGGGUAUUGACCCCUGCUGUGCCGAAGUUAACGCAU
RNAcentral lists this ribosomal RNA (469 nucleotides) under uncultured delta proteobacterium. RNAcentral's name for it is "bacterial SSU rRNA". It matches the Rfam family "Bacterial small subunit ribosomal RNA", at positions 400 to 860 of the family's 1533-position model. Lineage: Bacteria; Deltaproteobacteria. The record is from RNAcentral.